AAAAAGGGUCGGUUGGCUAAAUAUGCCACACUCGCCCGAGUGGUGAGUGCCGUAUGGAUAUCAAGACAUAUGGCCGACAUAAUUUGUGGAAUUCUCAUAGGGUUGGCUCGCUGGCCGACCCUCCA
Nicotiana sylvestris (wood tobacco) is the source of this 125-nucleotide non-coding RNA. The record is from Rfam. Lineage: Eukaryota; Viridiplantae; Streptophyta; Magnoliopsida; Solanales; Solanaceae.